GCCCCCGUUGUGUAGCGGCCUAGCACGCCGCCCUCUCAAGGCGGUAGCGCCGGUUCAAAUCCGGUCGGGGGUA
Molecule: transfer RNA, 73 nt
Filed under: Streptomyces anulatus
Lineage: Bacteria; Bacillati; Actinomycetota; Actinomycetes; Kitasatosporales; Streptomycetaceae
Also listed under: 5 other names
Description: tRNA-Glu
Rfam family: tRNA
About the family: Transfer RNA (tRNA) molecules are approximately 80 nucleotides in length. Their secondary structure includes four short double-helical elements and three loops (D, anti-codon, and T loops).
Source: RNAcentral